This 481-nucleotide ribosomal RNA is filed under the name uncultured bacterium. RNAcentral's name for it is "partial 16S ribosomal RNA". It matches the Rfam family "Bacterial small subunit ribosomal RNA", at positions 28 to 507 of the family's 1533-position model. The record is from RNAcentral.
GACGAACGUUGGCGGCGUGCUUAAUACAUGCAAGUCAACUGAAGCAGUGGUAGCAAUAUCGCUGUGGAGGUGGCGCACGGGUGAGUAACACGUAGGUAAUCUGCCUUCAGGUCUGGCAUAACUCCGGGAAACCGGGGCUAAUAGCAGAUGAUGCAGCGGCUCGACAUCGAGACAGUUGUUAAAGCUAUGGCGCCUGAAGAUGAGCCUGCGUCUGAUUAGCUAGUUGGCGGGGUAACGGCCCACCAAGGCAACGAUCAGUAGCUGGUCUGAGAGGAUGAUCAGCCACACAGGAACUGCGACACGGUCCGGACUCCUACGGGAGGCAGCAGUAAGGAAUAUUGAUCAAUGGGAGAAAUCCUGAAGCAGCAACGCCGCGUGAGGGACGAGGGGCUUUUGCUUGUAAACCUCUGUAGAGAGAGAAAAAAAUCCCCAUCUGUGGGACAUGAUGGUAUCUCAAAAGUAAGCCCCGGCUAACUACGUG